AAACGUAGGAGGCGAGCGUUAUUCGGAUUUACUGGGCGUAAAGCGUGUGCAGGUGGUGCGGUAAGUUGGAUGUGAAAGCUCCUGGCUUAACUAGGAGAGGUCGUUCAAUACUACCGUGCUAGAGAGUGAGAGAGGGAAGUGGAAUUCCGGGUGUAGUGGUGAAAUGCGUAGAUAUCCGGAGGAACACCAGUGGCGAAAGCGACUUCCUGGCUCAUUUCUGACACUCAGACACGAAAGCUAGGGUAGCAAACGGGAUUAGAGACCCCGGUAGUCCUAGCCGUAAACGAUGUAGACUUGGCGUUGGUGGUGUUAAAUCCAUCAGUGCCGAAGCUAACGCGAUAAGUCUACCGCCUGGGGAUUACGGCCGCAAGGCUAAA
Molecule: ribosomal RNA, 377 nt
Filed under: uncultured bacterium
Lineage: Bacteria
Description: bacterial SSU rRNA
Rfam family: Bacterial small subunit ribosomal RNA
Source: RNAcentral